CCCUGGCAGGAGCGCUGGUGCUCUGCAGAGCAGCCUAUUGGACUGCGAGUUCGCCCUGGAGAGCCAAUCGAAGGAGCUGGCGGCUCUCCAGGCGGAGCAGGGCGCGAGGGGGGCGGAGCUUACAGCGGCACGGAGAGAGGUGGAGCACCUGCUGGAGCGCUGGAUGGAGGAGAAGAGAGAAGAGGCGGAGCGAGUGAACGAGCACAACAGCACGCAGGAGCGAUGGCAGCGGUUCACCAGCCAGCUGGCUAAGCACUGCCGGAGAGGUGGGCAGCAGCAAAGAGGUGAACCUGAGCAGCUCACCUGGACACCACCUGAUACACCUGCAACCUGUGAGGAGACAACUGAGCCACUCUGAUACAGCCACGUGCACCUAACACACACACAUGCAUCAACACCUAACGCACACACAUACACCAAGACCUAGCACACAAACUAUCAAGCCAAAUAGCUGUAGCCAGUAAGGUCUCUGUCCCUGGUUUACACAUGUAACCCCCCUCCAUUUCCUGACCAAAUGCUAACACAUUCAGAGUAUACUAUGGUGUCGAACAGACACAUAAAUAGAACAGUGCUCUGCCUUAAAUGAACACCCUCCGAUCUAAAUGCACAAAUGACACAGAAAUUCAAAAUAAACAUUUUUUAAAAAAAGAAGUUUUAUUUUUUUCCUGAAAUGCUGUACAAAAUAAAGAAGCAACAUGAAUCGUC
This is a long non-coding RNA of Anguilla rostrata (American eel), 705 nucleotides long. RefSeq lists it as uncharacterized. The record is from RefSeq and is a predicted model, not a curated record. The transcript has 2 exons. NCBI's taxonomy places the organism in Eukaryota, Metazoa, Chordata, Actinopteri, Anguilliformes, Anguillidae.